RNAcentral lists this ribosomal RNA (441 nucleotides) under uncultured bacterium. Its description in RNAcentral is "bacterial SSU rRNA". It matches the Rfam family "Bacterial small subunit ribosomal RNA", at positions 958 to 1401 of the family's 1533-position model. The record is from RNAcentral.
AACGCGAAGAACCUUACCAAGGCUUGACAUGCACGGGAAAGUUCCAGAGAUGGUUCCCCCGCAAGGUCCGUGCACAGGUGGUGCAUGGUUGUCGUCAGCUCGUGUCGUGAGAUGUUGGGUUAAGUCCCGCAACGAGCGCAACCCUUGUCUUAUGUUGCCAGCACGUCAUGGUGGGGACUCAUAAGAGACUGCCGGGGUCAACUCGGGAGGAAGGUGGGGAUGACGUCAAAUCAUCAUGCCCCUUAUGUCUUGGGCUUCACGCGUGCUACAAUGGCCGGUACAAUGGGCUGCGAUACCGUGAGGUGGAGCGAAUCCCAAAAAGCCGGUCUCAGUUCGGAUUGGGGUCUGCAACUCGACCCCAUGAAGUCGGAGUCGCUAGUAAUCGCAGAUCAGCAUUGCUGCGGUGAAUACGUUCCCGGGCCUUGUACACACCGCUACAGU